RNAcentral lists this ribosomal RNA (270 nucleotides) under uncultured bacterium. RNAcentral describes it as "partial 16S ribosomal RNA". It matches the Rfam family "Bacterial small subunit ribosomal RNA", at positions 28 to 293 of the family's 1533-position model. The record is from RNAcentral.
GAUGAACGCUAGCGGCAGGCUUAAUACAUGCAAGUCGUGGGGCAGCAUAGGGUAGCAAUACUCUGAUGGCGACCGGCAAACGGGUGCGGAACACGUACGCAACCUUCCUUUAAUUGGAGAAUAGCCCCUCGAAAGAGGGAUUAAUACUCCGUAACAUGUUGAUAAGGCAUCUUAUUAAUAUUAUAGCUUCGGCGGUUAAAGAUGGGCGUGCGACUGAUUAGGUAGUUGGCGGGGUAACGGCCCACCAAGCCUUCGAUCAGUAACUGGUGU